RNAcentral lists this ribosomal RNA (1383 nucleotides) under Triticum aestivum (bread wheat). RNAcentral's name for it is "partial small subunit ribosomal RNA". Lineage: Eukaryota; Viridiplantae; Streptophyta; Magnoliopsida; Poales; Poaceae. The record is from RNAcentral.
AUGGAGCAAUUGGAGAAGAGGAUGGAUGCUGCAGAACAACAAAUCAAAGAGCUGCGUGAAGAUCUUAAUCGGAGAUUUGGUCAGCUGGUUGAGAUGAUAAGAAAGGGUGUCCCCCCUGCUGCCAAUGAAGGAGAUUCAUCUAAAGAAGAAGAUGCUCAACAAGGAAGGAGAGGUAAUCUUGGAGCAAGACCGCCACAACAACGUGCUGUUCAACGUGCUUCAAGAAGGCCAAUUUAUGUUGAAGCUUCUGAAGGUGAAGAAUAUGAUGAUGCCCUUGAAGAAGCAGAUCUCUACGCAUAUCGGAGAGUACCCAACCCUACAUAUGCAAGAGAUACAUACAAGGUGAAAGCUGAGAUCCCAACUUUUAAUGGAAAUGUUGACAUUGAAGGGUGCCUGGAUUGGUUAUAUGAAGUGGAGACUUUCUUUGAGGUCAUGGAGGUUCCGGAAGAUCGUAGAGUUCCUUUGGUCGCAUACAAACUGAAAGGAGGAGCCGGUGCAUGGUGGCAUCGCGUUCAAGAGGAGCGCAGGCUGAGAGGAGAACCUCGUGUUAGAACUUGGCGACAAAUGAAAGGCCUCUUGAAAGGGAGAUUUUUGCCCGCUGAUUAUGACCAGAUCCUAUUUAUCCAAUUUCAAAAUUGUGCUCAAGGAAAUAGGACUGUUUCAGAUUACGCGGAGGAGUUUCUAAGGCUACAAGUGAGGUGCAACCUUGCUGAAACUGAAGAGCAACAAGUUGCAAGGUACAUCAAUGGUCUCAAUGAUGCUAUUCAAGAUCGAUUGAUGAUGCAACAAAUCUGGUCCGUUGAUCAAGCACAAGCUCUAGCCUUAAAGGCCGAGAGGUUUGUGAGGAUGAGAAAGACAACUAAGGCUCCAUAUCCUCCAUAUCCACAUACCGAAGGCUCAUCUAGGAGCCAACCUAAUAGAGUGGAAGAAAAGACCACUCCACCAGAGACAAAACAGCCCAUCUCGAAGCAAACUAGAGGCAAGGGUAAGGCAAAUGAAGGCCCAAAGUGCUAUAAAUGUGGUAAAGAGGGACUCAUAUCCAGCGGUUGCCCACUAAGGAAAUUUGUUAACACGACUAUCCAUGAUGGUGAAGGCGAUGAGGAAGAAUACGAAUCUGAAGAUGUAGACGGACAAGAGGUUUGUCAAGAAGAAGGUGAAGAGGUGGUAUGUGUGAUCCAGCGUCUCCUAUGUUCCACACCACAACCCAAUGACACACAACGGAAGAAAAUAUUUGAGAGCAAAUGCACGGUGAAUGGCAAGGUAUGCAAACUAGUGAUCGAUAGUUGCAGCUGCGAGAAUCUUAUCUCCCAGAAGUUGGUGGACCAUUUAAAGCUUGAAACCCAUGAUCAUCCAAAUCCCUACACUAUUGCAUGGGUCAAAUAA